This is an unclassified non-coding RNA of Pan paniscus (pygmy chimpanzee), 102 nucleotides long. It matches the Rfam family "Y RNA". From Rfam's summary of the family: Y RNAs are components of the Ro ribonucleoprotein particle (Ro RNP), in association with Ro60 and La proteins. The Y RNAs and Ro60 and La proteins are well conserved, but the function of the Ro RNP is not known. NCBI's taxonomy places the organism in Eukaryota, Metazoa, Chordata, Mammalia, Primates, Hominidae. The record is from Ensembl.
GGCUGGUCCGAGUGCAGUGGUGUUUACAACUAAUUGAUCACAACCAGUUACAGAUUUCUUUGUUCCUUCUUCACUUUCACUGCUUCACUCGGCUAGCCAGGA